Molecule: ribosomal RNA, 655 nt
Filed under: bacterium 85-L049393-122-001-E11
Lineage: Bacteria
Description: bacterial SSU rRNA
Rfam family: Bacterial small subunit ribosomal RNA
Source: RNAcentral
GCAGUCGAACGCUCCGCAAGGAGAGUGGCAGACGGGUGAGUAACACGUGGGAACGUACCCUUUACUACGGAACAACUCCGGGAAACUGGAGCUAAUACCGUAUGUGCCCUUCGGGGGAAAGAUUUAUCGGUAAAGGAUCGGCCCGCGUUGGAUUAGCUAGUUGGUGGGGUAAAGGCCUACCAAGGCGACGAUCCAUAGCUGGUCUGAGAGGAUGAUCAGCCACAUUGGGACUGAGACACGGCCCAAACUCCUACGGGAGGCAGCAGUGGGGAAUAUUGGACAAUGGGCGCAAGCCUGAUCCAGCCAUGCCGCGUGUGUGAUGAAGGCCUUAGGGUUGUAAAGCACUUUCACCGGAGAAGAUAAUGACGGUAUCCGGAGAAGAAGCCCCGGCUAACUUCGUGCCAGCAGCCGCGGUAAUACGAAGGGGGCUAGCGUUGUUCGGAAUUACUGGGCGUAAAGCGCACGUAGGCGGAUAUUUAAGUCAGGGGUGAAAUCCCAGAGCUCAACUCUGGAACUGCCUUUGAUACUGGGUAUCUUGAGUAUGGAAGAGGUAAGUGGAAUUGCGAGUGUAGAGGUGAAAUUCGUAGAUAUUCGCAGGAACACCAGUGGCGAGGGCGGGCUACUGGUCCAUAACUGACGCUGAGGUGCGAAAGCG